CGGGAGGCAGCAGUGAGGAAUAUUGGACAAUGGAUGGAAAUCUGAUCCAGCCAUGCCGCGUGCAGGAAGACGGCCUUAUGGGUUGUAAACUGCUUUUAUACGGGAGCAAUAAGGGUUACGAGUAAUCCGAUGAGAGUACUGUAUGAAUAAGGAUCGGCUAACUCCGUGCCAGCAGCCGCGGUAAUACGGAGGAUCCGAGCGUUAUCCGGAAUUAUUGGGUUUAAAGGGUGCGUAGGCGGCCAUUUAAGUCAGCGGUGAAAUUUUGCAGCUUAACUGUAACAGUGCCGUUGAUACUGUUUGGCUAGGAUUUGGUUGUAGUGUGCGGAAUGUGUGGUGUAGCGGUGAAAUGCUUAGAUAUCACACAGAACACCGAUUGCGAAGGCAGCACACUAAGUCAUUAUUGACGCUGAGGCACGAAAGUGUGGGGAUCAAACAGGAUUAGAUACCCUGGUAGUCCACACUGUAAACGAUGAUAACUCGCUGUCGGCGAUACACAGUCGGUGGCCAAGCGAAAGCAUAAGU
This 522-nucleotide ribosomal RNA is filed under the name uncultured bacterium. RNAcentral describes it as "bacterial SSU rRNA". It matches the Rfam family "Bacterial small subunit ribosomal RNA", at positions 342 to 865 of the family's 1533-position model. The record is from RNAcentral.